GGUUAAGUUAGAAAGGGCGCACGGUGGAUGCCUUGACACUAGGAGUCGAUGAAGGACGGGACUAACGCCGAUAUGCUUCGGGGAGCUGUAAGUAAGCUUUGAUCCGAAGAUUUCCGAAUGGGGAAACCCACCAUACGUAAUGGUAUGGUAUCCUUAUCUGAAUACAUAGGGUAAGGAAGACAGACCCAGGGAACUGAAACAUCUAAGUACCUGGAGGAAGAGAAAGCAAAUGCGAUUUCCUGAGUAGCGGCGAGCGAAACGGAACAUAGCCCAAACCAAGAGGCUUGCCUCUUGGGGUUGUAGGACAUUCUAUACGGAGUUACAAAGGAACGAGGUAGACGAAGCGACCUGGAAAGGUCCGUCGUAGAGGGUAACAACCCCGUAGUCGAAACUUCGUUCUCUCUUGAAUGUAUCCUGAGUACGGCGGAACACGUGAAAUUCCGUCGGAAUCUGGGAGGACCAUCUCCCAAGGCUAAAUACUCCCUAGUGAUCGAUAGUGAACCAGUACCGUGAGGGAAAGGUGAAAAGCACCCCGGAAGGGGAGUGAAAGAGAUCCUGAAACCGUGUGCCUACAAAUAGUCAGAGCCCGUUAACGGGUGAUGGCGUGCCUUUUGUAGAAUGAACCGGCGAGUUACGAUCCCGUGCGAGGUUAAGCUGAAGAGGCGGAGCCGCAGCGAAAGCGAGUCUGAAUAGGGCGUUUAGUACGUGGUCGUAGACCCGAAACCAGGUGAUCUACCCAUGUCCAGGGUGAAGUUCAGGUAACACUGAAUGGAGGCCCGAACCCACGCACGUUGAAAAGUGCGGGGAUGAGGUGUGGGUAGCGGAGAAAUUCCAAUCGAACCUGGAGAUAGCUGGUUCUCCCCGAAAUAGCUUUAGGGCUAGCCUUAAGUGUAAGAGUCUUGGAGGUAGAGCACUGAUUGGACUAGGGGUCCUCAUCGGAUUACCGAAUUCAGUCAAACUCCGAAUGCCAAUGACUUAUCCUUAGGAGUCAGACUGCGAGUGAUAAGAUCCGUAGUCAAAAGGGAAACAGCCCAGACCGCCAGCUAAGGUCCCAAAGUGUGUAUUAAGUGGAAAAGGAUGUGGAGUUGCUUAGACAACUAGGAUGUUGGCUUAGAAGCAGCCACCAUUUAAAGAGUGCGUAAUAGCUCACUAGUCGAGUGACUCUGCGCCGAAAAUGUACCGGGGCUAAAUACACCACCGAAGCUGCGGAUUGAUACC
Molecule: ribosomal RNA, 1218 nt
Filed under: Bacillus anthracis (anthrax bacterium)
Lineage: Bacteria; Bacillati; Bacillota; Bacilli; Caryophanales; Bacillaceae
Also listed under: 40 other names
Description: partial 23S ribosomal RNA
Rfam family: Bacterial large subunit ribosomal RNA
Source: RNAcentral